Puccinia graminis f. sp. tritici CRL 75-36-700-3 is the source of this 85-nucleotide non-coding RNA. Lineage: Eukaryota; Fungi; Basidiomycota; Pucciniomycetes; Pucciniales; Pucciniaceae. The record is from the annotation of a RefSeq genome assembly.
GGUUUGGUGGUCUAGUAGUAUGAUUCACCCUUAGGGCAUGUGUCUUGAUUGGGUGAGGUCCCGGGUUCAAUUCCCGGCCAGACCC